CUGGCCACAGUCCAAAAUAAGUGGAUUAAUCGGUGUCGUGUGGAGCUGUUUUAGUUACACGUGUACUUUCUGCACUAUUUCGCUAAGAAUAUUUCCCUGCACAUUCGCUGUCCUCUAAACACAUCAGGGGAAUAUUUGCCCUUCAGUUGCUGCAUUCAUUCUUUCUUCUUCCAUCGUGUAUCCCUCUCUUCUCUCUCUUUUCUUCUCUUCCUACCUCCCUUCCUUCCUUCCGUGCUGGGGGGUAAAUAUAUAAAUUCUUAUGCUACUACUUAUUUUUUAUCUCUUAACUGUGGCCAGAUACUUAAUGAUUUUAUAGAUAUGUCAUUUAAUUUCAUAGAGAAAUAUGUAUUGCAUGAUAUAAAAUUUUACAUAAGUAGCCGACUCAUUGGAAAAGACACUGAUGCUGGGAAAGAUUGAAGGCAGGAGAAGAGGGCGGAAGAGAAUGACAUGACUGGGAUGGCAUCACUGACUCAAUGAAUAUGAUUUUGAGCAAACUGCAGGAAAUAAUAAAGGACAGGGGAGCCUGGCAUGCUGCAGUCCACAGGGUUGCAAAGAGUCGGACGUGACUUAGUGACUGAACAACAAUAUAUCAUAAACACAAUAAGAUACAAGUAUAACAUAUUUUUAUAUAUAAUUUAAAUAUAAAAUUUAUGUUUGUAUAAAUCAUACAUGCAUUUAAUCUUCAAACCUACGUUUUACCCAUAUUUGUAGAUAAACUAAGGUACAGAGAUGUCUGCUGUCAAGGAACUUCGUAUAUAUGUUGGACUAUAUGUCCCCGGUCUCUCCAACCUGUGACUAAGAUCACAACUCCCCCUUUGUAUAUAGGCUUUCAUGACACAAACUUUCAACCUAUGUGACUGGCCCGAGUCCGAUAUUCCUCUGAUUUCUUUCUGCAAAUACCACCAGGAGAGUCCCAAAGCACCACAACACAUAUGCCGCAGAGUAAGAAUUUAGAUUCUCCCACUUCAGCCUUUUGGCCUCACAGCAUGUUGCUUCCUCAUCACUAGUGACCUUUGUGAAGGUCAACUGCUCCCACAGCCUAAGCAGGCCUUCAGACACUGUCUACCCCCUCACUGUGGCCUUGAAAAUAAACACUGCUGUUCCUUCUCUCAGCUCUUCUCUUAGAAACACAGUCAAGCUGCCAGGUCACUGGUCUAAGCAUGAACCCGGAAGCAUGAACCCAGAGUUGGUUAAACGACUCGAUCUCAGAUAUGCUUCACAGAGCAGGGACCUGUUCACCCUCGCCCCUUGGCACCUCUAUGACUUGGAAUCCAGGCCGCAGAGAAAGAUGGUGGAAAUUUCUGCCUACUGCUGCACAGCUAAAGCAGUGUUGCAGUGACCAUUGCUUAUUCUGCAUUUAUUUGUCCUGGUGAGCACAUCAGAUACAGCAGAGGAAACUUAGGAUGCCUGACCGGUAAGUUAAACACAACUUAAAAUAAUGAAACUUCUUUUGUAGCCAUAACUACUUAUCAAUUUUAAAUUAAAAUACACAUUUUAUUCUGCCUGGAAUUUUAAAAAAGUUAGGUAACCUAUUUAAUUUAAAAACUUGGAGAAUGAACUAGAAAAUGUUUUAUAGGGCAUUUUUUUGUAAACUGAUUUAAAACUUGCAUGACUUCCUUCAUUAUGAUUAUACUGACAGGAAACUUGUGUUGUCUAAAUUCUGGAAAAGAUACAUACAACUUGAAAGAAAUAUUAAUUUUCAUCCAGUCAAGUAAUUCCUCAGAAGGAGGAAUAGCUAGUCUGUUGGGUCUUGUGACUUCAGUGGUGCCUUUGUAAUCUAGACUGUCAAGGCCAGGAGAUUACUGUCAUUUUGCAUUUUGUGUAUUUUGAGGAGUUUUAUUCCAUUUUCAUUCUCAAUUCCUUUCCAUUUCAUAAGCCACAACUAAUUAUCUUAACCAUUUCCACUAGUAAGAACUGGUUGUGGUUGUGGUGUUACAGAUCUUGCCUGUUUUCUUUCCAAAUUUCUUAUCCACAUGCUUCACGGUAGUCUCGCCUCUUCUUUUUGCCCCCAUUCUCUCGUUUUUUGACUUCUGAGGACUCCUUGAUGACGAUGGAAAACAGAGUCUCUGCCUCACAUUGUGAAAUGUGCAUGACUUAGCUACUAUUCCAACAAACAUUUCUCAGACAGUGUGGGCCGGAAGUAAUUUUUUAACCAACCGAAUCUCCUUUAAGCUACCUGGAAGUUGGGGCAGCACAACAUACUUGUCUUGUGGCAAGUACAAAUUAAUGUAAAGCACUUGGGGGUCCUCAUUGCUGAGAGACUGCGGUGAAUCUUUGGUGCCUUGUUUGAGGACCUAUCAACAAAAUUUAUCUCCUGGAAGAGACUGCCAUAAUGUGGAAGGUGUUUGAUUCCUCGGUUCC
This 2361-nucleotide long non-coding RNA is filed under the name Bos grunniens (domestic yak). Its description in RNAcentral is "lncRNA (ENSBGRG00000003744.1)". The record is from RNAcentral. Lineage: Eukaryota; Metazoa; Chordata; Mammalia; Artiodactyla; Bovidae.